UUCAAUGUGGAAAUUUCACACUAGAGGUGUCAGAAAAGU
This 39-nucleotide ribosomal RNA is filed under the name Plasmodiophora brassicae. Its description in RNAcentral is "partial 28S ribosomal RNA". Lineage: Eukaryota; Endomyxa; Phytomyxea; Plasmodiophorida; Plasmodiophoridae. The record is from RNAcentral.